This is a non-coding RNA of Lepisosteus oculatus (spotted gar), 518 nucleotides long. The record is from the annotation of a RefSeq genome assembly. Lineage: Eukaryota; Metazoa; Chordata; Actinopteri; Semionotiformes; Lepisosteidae.
UGAGUUUAACACUUCAUGACUCAGAGCUGCCCUACAUGGCAACAGAACCCACAGCAACAAUGAUUUUCAUCACCAUCUUCCUCUGGACACUCCUCAUCUCUGCUCAGGAGUCUAGUGGACAGGUUACUGUGACUCAGACUCCAGCAGUGGUAUCUGUUCUCCCAGGACAGACAGUCACUGUGAGCUGUAAGGCCAGUCCUGCAGUGCACAAUGACAAUCAAUUAGCCUGGUACCAACAGAAAGCUGGAGAAGCUCCUAAACCACUGAUACUUUAUGCAACUGACCGUCAGUCUGGGAUCCCAAAGCGUUUCAGUGGCAGUGGAUCCGGAACUGACUUCACUCUGACCAUCACAGCAGUCCAGGCUGAAGAUGGAGCAGAAUAUUUCUGUCAGAGUUUACACAACAUCAACAGUUACUGGCCACGCACACAGUGUUAUACGCCAUUACAAAAACCUCCUUCAGAAGGACUGCACAGCGACUGCACUGCUGCAGCUGGCACCUCCUGCAGGUGCUGAGGG